UUCAAACAAAACGUUACAGACCCAUUCCUUUUUUCCUUCUUUUUAAAACAAAACAAGGAUUCUUUCUCUUCUUUAAAAAAAGUUCCAAAUCCCUAAACCCCAUUUUUGCUCUCCUUCAACAGAUCAUAGAGAGGCCAUCCAACCAACCCUUUUUUGAGUCUAAUUCCAACGACGGAGAAGGAUUCUCCGGCACUGUGACCGCGGGUUCAGGUGGCGUGGUGGAUGUGGGCACUGACAUGGCGUGAGUAGUGCGGCAUUGGAGGCCCGAGUGGCGUGGGACGCGGAGGUCGUUGGUGGAGCGGCGACUGUUGCAAGCACUGGGGCUAGGGGUUUUUUUGCUGAAAAGUUUAGGUUUUAGGCCCCUUUGGGCUUUAGGGUUAUUAGGGUUUGGGUUUAAGUUUUAUUUUGGGUUUUAGAUUUAGGUUAAAAACAAUUGGGCUUGUAAUUGGACUGUAAAAAAAAAGAAUUUUAUUUCUGUUUAUUUGUUUGUGGGUCUUGGGCCCGGGCUAAAACUGGGCCCUACAGUAUAGAUGUAACACUUAUUGUCCUUUCAUUAUCAAAUCAAAAAUAAUUUAAUGAUGUUAAA
This is a long non-coding RNA of Gossypium arboreum, 586 nucleotides long. RefSeq lists it as uncharacterized. Lineage: Eukaryota; Viridiplantae; Streptophyta; Magnoliopsida; Malvales; Malvaceae. The transcript has 2 exons. The record is from RefSeq and is a predicted model, not a curated record.